AUGUUGUUGUUGUUUUUUCAAUGUCCUGGGUUUUCGACAUCGAACCCACUACAGCGCCUAGAAAACGCUCGAGGUAAAGGUUUGUUUCAUUGCGUUUUGUACACGUCAUUUUUUUCGUAUUGGUGUUUGUAUUUAUUAUUGAAAGUGAUGAUUUUUCUGGAAUUAUAUGUUUUGGCCAAUUUGGCACAUCAAGGAUAUAGUUUAUGA
Vicia faba (fava bean) is the source of this 207-nucleotide non-coding RNA. Lineage: Eukaryota; Viridiplantae; Streptophyta; Magnoliopsida; Fabales; Fabaceae. The record is from the annotation of a GenBank genome assembly.